RNAcentral lists this ribosomal RNA (488 nucleotides) under Bacillus anthracis (anthrax bacterium). Its description in RNAcentral is "bacterial SSU rRNA". It matches the Rfam family "Bacterial small subunit ribosomal RNA", at positions 224 to 705 of the family's 1533-position model. Lineage: Bacteria; Bacillati; Bacillota; Bacilli; Caryophanales; Bacillaceae. The record is from RNAcentral.
GAUGGAACCGCGUCGCAUUAGGGGUUUGGUGAGGUAACGGCUCACCAAGGCAACGAUUCUUAGCCGACCUGAGAGGGUGAUCGGCCACACUGGGACUGAGACACGGCCCAGACUCCUACGGGAGGCAGCAGUAGGGAAUCUUCCGCAAUGGACGAAAGUCUGACGGAGCAACGCCACGUGAGUGAUGAAGGCUUUCGGGUCGUAAAACUCUAUUGUUAGGGAAGAACAAGUGCUAGUUGAAUAAGCUGGCACCUUGACGGUACCUAACCAGAAAGCCACGGCUAACUACGUGCCAGCAGCCGCGGUAAUACGUAGGUGGCAAGCGUUAUCCGGAAUUAUUGGGCGUAAAGCGCGCGCAGGUGGUUUCUUAAGUCUGAUGUGAAAGGCCACCGCUCAACCGUGGAGGGUCAUUGGAAACUGGGAGACUUCCCUGGGAAGAGGAUAGGGGGAUUCCUGUGUAGCGGUGGGGCGCGUAGACAUAUGCCGGA